This 7830-nucleotide long non-coding RNA is filed under the name Sus scrofa (pig). RNAcentral's name for it is "lncRNA (ENSSSCG00005023964.1)". The record is from RNAcentral. Lineage: Eukaryota; Metazoa; Chordata; Mammalia; Artiodactyla; Suidae.
UUUUUUUUUUUUUUUUUGUCUUCUUUCUUUGUCUUUUCUAGGGCCACUCCAGCGGCAUAUGGAGGUUCCCAGCCUAGGGGUAUAAUGGAGCUGUAGCCGCUGGCCUAUGCCAGAGCCACAGCAACAUGGGAUCUGAGCCUCAUCCUUAACCCACUGAGCAAGGCCAAGGAUCGAACCUGUAACCUCAUGGUUCCUAGCUGGAUUCUUUAACCACUGAGCCAUGACAGGAACUCCUCCAAUUUCUGACUUCUGACCUCCACAACUGUGAGAGAAUAAAUUUCUGUAGCUUUAAGCUAACUAGUUUGUGUUAAUUUGUCACACAGAUCUAGGAAACUAAAACGCACUCUGAUUCCCCAUAACAGUGAAUAUAAAAUUUACCAUCAUCUAGCCCUCACCCUAACACUCAUCCUUACCCUGAAAAUGAACCUUAUUCUGACCUCAAUCCUGAUAAGAGCCAGAAAUCAACUUUUUCCUCAGCCCUCACUGUGACCUUGACUUUCAGACUCACUUUGAGCUAGACCUUGACCAUUUUCCUGACCCUCAUAAUCACACUGAUACUGAAUAGAUCCUUCCUCAUAACUUUGACACUGACCUUGACCCUGACCCUGAACUCAUCCUGAACUUAACCUUGACACUAUUUUCUGCCAUUUACUACCACCAUGACCUUGACCCUAACUGUGAAGAUCCUUAUGACCCUAAACCUCACACUUAGUAUCUUCUCAGCUCUGAUCCUUGUCCUGACCUGACCUCACCCACCACCUGUCCUGACUGUGAGUAUGAGCUUGAUCCUAAUCCACUGCCUAAUUCUUUCCUGACUUUGUCCCUGACUUUCAUGCUCACAAUGACCCUGAAGCUGAUGUUGAACCCAACACUACUACAUUUGUGAUAUUUGUUAGAUUCCACAUCCAAGGGGUAUCCUAUGGUAUUGUCCUUCAUUUUUGGACUUAUUUCUCUUUGCAUGAGAGUUUCUGGUUCCAUCUAUGUGGCUGCGAAUGUCAUUUUUUAUGACUGUGUUGUAUUCCAUUGUGUAUAUGUACAACAUCAUCUUAAUUCAUUCAUCUGUCAAUGGACUUGAGUUUGUUUCCCUGUCUUGGCUAUUGUGAAUAUUGCUGCAAUAAACAUAGCAGGGCAAGUAUUUUUUAAAAGAACAUUCAUCCAGAUAUAUGCCCAAGAGUGGGAUUGCUGGGUCAUAUGUUCAUUCUAUAUGUAUUUUUCAGAUUUACCUUGAUCCUGUUGUCUGCAGUUUUGGUACUAAUUUGCAUACCCAACCACACUGUAGGAGGGCACCCUCUUCACCAUACCCUCUCCAGGAUUUGUUAUUUGUAGACUUACUAAUGAUUGCCAUUCGGACAGGUGUGAAGUGGUACCUCAGUAUAGUUUUGAUUUGCAUUACUCUCCUAAUGUAUUGAUCAUUUCUUCCGGUGCUUGUUACCCUAUGUAUAUCUGGUUUAGGGAAAUGUCUAUUCAGGUAUUUUGCCCAUUGUUCAAUUGGGUUGUUGGAUUUUUUUUUUUUUUUUUUGGCUGUUGGUUUGUAUCAGUUGUCAAGCUGGUAAUAUUGAAACUCCAUCCAGAAUUCCCCUCGUGGCACAGCGGAAACGAAUCUGACUAGGAACAUGAGGUUGCAGGUUCGAUCCCUGGCCUCCCUCAGUGGGCUAAGGGCCCAGUGUUGCCAUGAGCUGUGGUGUAGGUCGCAGAUGCAGCUCAGAUCUGGCGUUGCUGCAGCUCUGAUGUAAGCCAGCAGCUAUAGCUCAGAUUCGACCCCUAGCCUGGGAACCUCCAUAUGCCGUGGUUGUGGCCCUAAAAGGACAAAAAAAAGAAAGAAAGAAAGAAAGAAAUCCUAUCCUGACCUGGGCUUUGGGAACCAGAUAGAGUGCCUGCAGGUUGUGCAUGGAAGGUUGUACAAUGGCGAUUUUUGGUGAGCAGUUGCAGUAAUCUGUGUUGUUUCUUUCAAGAGGUCUCCUGAAACUCCAUUCUUUUCUUUCCAUGUGAGCCUCCUUUUUUCUCUCUAUACACCUGGUUUAAAGACCUGAUCUAAUGCCAGUUCAGAUGAAUUAAUGCCAGUAGAAUGAUUACAGAAAGCUCUCAUGGAGAUGCCUCCUUUCUCCCUGGGAAAAAGAUCUCUCUGUGUCUCUGUGCUGGGUUUGUUAACCUCUGGACUUGAAAACCAUCGAUGGGCAGACAACUCAUGCACGCUUCAGGUGCAGUCAAUAAAGUAGGAAAGAAAGAGAAAAAAAAAGAAUCAUACUUUUAUUGUAUGCAUGAAGGAAUAACACUUGGAAAAUUAAGAAAAAAUCAAAAGUUACAUAUAUACACACCUGUCUUCCUAAAUACAUAAGUUCAGGGUUAUCUAAAAAAGGAAGAAGGCUGUCAUAACAUGAUGGGUCGGAACUGAGUGUUUGAACAGAGUGGCAUGGAGUAGGUUGGCUUCAGGGCUCUGAAAGCCUUUGAGAGAGAAAUAGCCCCCUUGGAAGGGUACUUCUUGGUAUUUUAAGAAAUUGGAGGAAGGAAAUAAAACUACCAUACUGCCCUCAGACAGUGCAGCCCCCUGGUGCUGCUAAGCCAGAGAGGAGGAAAACCUGAGAGUUGCUAUUAGAGCACAUUCCACAAGACGUCACCAGAGGACCUUCUGGACACAGGUGCAGCUCCAGGGCUGGAGGUGCUGGCUCAGAGAUGGGAUUGAUGGUGUGUUUCCCAGAACCCACAACAAGCACCCAGAGGUUCGGCGUUGUUCUCUGAUCACCUGGGACUCUCUGCUCCAAGAUGCCUCAUGUCGGGCAGAGGACACAGGUAUCCCUUCAGCUUUGGAUGUGGAUUGGCAGCCUGGUUAGGUAGCAGUGUGCUUAGAAUUCAUGAGAGAUUUGCUGGGUUUUGGAAUGUCUUGUAUUCCUCCAGAGGCAGGAGCCUAGAUUCACACAGCACCUGUGUUGCAUCGUGAGCUGACCAUUUUCAAGCCCCUGACUGUCGGGGCUUUAGGUAUGUGGAGAGAGAGGCUGGUGCUGAUGAAUGAAUGGGGGACUUUGGUGGCAUUAUGGUGGGCAGCUGUGCCAAUCCUUGUGCUUUUUUCUCUCAAGAGACCAAGUGAAAUUUCCUUCCUGCCUUUGCAGUUGAGGCUCCUUUUCAGUAUGGUGCUAGGUUAUGGGGGCCUGACCAAAAGCAGGUAUGAUGACUUAAAUAGGGUUGAUUGGUAUCAUCAAGAGAGCUCUCAGGGAGUUCCCUCGUGACUGCCAGGCUUAAGAGUCUAUCUCUGUCACUGCUGUGGCUGUGCUAAGAGCUGUGUUGGGAAAUCAAACCCUGGCCCAGACCACAUGUCAAUGUUGAAGGUGGCACCCAAAUAAAUUCAUAAAUAAAAAGAUAUUGAAAGAAUUGCUCAAUAUUUAAGGAAAUCAAUAAACACAUAUAAAUAUUCCUACAGAGUAGAUAAGGGAUUUGAUAGAUAAGGCACUAAUAAAGGGUCACCUGUCACUAUAACUCUGGUGACAGAGGGUUUUCAGUAGCAGCCUGGGGAAAUAAAAGUUUUGAUUUCCAUUUCUCUCCUAAGGAGUGAUGGUGAUCAUUUUUUCUGCUGCUUGUUGCCCUACGUAUAUCUGGUGUAGGUAAAUGUCUAUUCAGGUUUGUUGCCUGUUUUUCAAUUGGGUUGUUGCUUUUUUUUUUUUCCUCUCUUCUGUUGGGUUCUGUCAGUUGUCGAUCUGAUAAUUUUGAAACCCCAUCCUGACCUGGGUUUUGGGAACUGGAUAGAGUGCCUGCUGGUUGACCAUGGAAGGUGGUUCAAAGGUGAUAUUUUUGUGAGCAGCUGCACUAAACCCUGUGCUUUUUCUCUCAAGAGGUCUCUUGAAACUCUUAUUCUUUCCAGAGAGCCUCUUUUGUUCUCUCUAUACACCUGGUAUUAAUACAUGAUCUAAUGCCAGGUCAGGUGAAUUAAGGCCAGUAGAAUUCAAAUUCAGUAGAAUUGUAUAAAAAAAUCUCUCACGGACAUCCCUCAUGACUCCCUGUGUAUAAGAUCUGUCUGUGUUGCUGUGGUGGGUUUGGUAAGCUCUGUGGCUUGAAAAACUUCGAUGGGCAGACAACUCAUGCACACGCUUCAGGUGGGGUCAAGAAAGAAAGAGGGAAAGGAAAAUGAAUAACAGUUGAAUAAUUAAUAAAAAAAUCAAUAGUUCCAUAUAUACACACCUAUCUUCAUAAGUACAUAUGUGCAGGGAUAUCUAAAAAUGGAAGAAGGCUGUUAUGACCUGAUGGGUCAGGAGCUGAGUGUUUGAACAGAGUGGCCUUGGGUAUGUUGCCCUCAAGGCUAUGAAAGUCUUUCAGAGAGAAUAAGCCCACUUGGAAGAGCACUUGUUGGUAUUUUAAGACAAUGGAGGAAGGAAAUCCAACCAGCCUAUUGCCAACGUCCAGUGUAGCCCUGGGGGCUGUUUAGCCAGAGAGGGGAGGAAAGCCUGAGAGUUGCUAUUAGAGCAGAUUCCACAAGAUGGUGCCAGAAGUACCUUCUGGACCCCGGUGCAGCUCCAAGGCUGCGGGUGCUGGCUCAGAGGUGGGGUUAAUGGUGUGUAGGGUAGAACCCACAACAAGCACUCAGAGGUUUGGGGUUGUUUUAUGGGCACCUUGGACUCUCUGCUCCAAGAUGCCUCAUGUUGGGCAGAGGACACAGGUAUCCCUUCAGCAUUGGAUGUGGACUGGCAGCCUGGUUGGGUGGCAGUGUGUUUAGAAUGCUUGAGAGAUUCACUGGAUUUCAGAAUGCCUUGUGUUCCUCAAGUGGCAGGAACCACGACCCAUGCAGCAUUUUUGUUGAAUCCUGAGCUGGCCAUUUUCAAGCCCCUUACUGUUAGCGCUUUAAUUAUUUGAAGAGAGAGGCAGGUGCUAAUGAAUGAAAUCAGGAUGUUGGUGGCAUUAUGAUGGGCAGCUGUGCUAAUCCCUGUGCUUUUUUUUUGCUCAAGACCUAGUGAAUUUCCUUCUUGCCUUUGGAGAUGAACCUCUCUUUUAAGCACAGCGACAGGGUAGGGAGGCCUGACCGAAAGCAGGUCUGAUGAGUUAAGCAGGGUUACUGGUAUCAAGCAGGAUCUCAGGGAGUUUCCCCGUGGCUGCUGGGCUUAAGAGUCUAUCUCUGUCACUGCUGUGGCUGUGGUAAGAGCUGCGUUGGGAAAUCAAACUCUGGUCUGACAAUAUCCCAGUGUCACUGGUGGAUCCUGAAUCAAUUUAUAAAUAAAAAGAGAUAUUGAAAAAAUAAGCUCAGUUGAUAAAUAAGUCAAUACAUACAUGUAUACAUUCCUACAGAGUAGCUAAGGGAAUUGGUAGAUAAGGCAAUACUAAAGGAUCUCCUGACACUAUAGCUCUGGUGACGGAGGGUUUUCAGUAGGGUCCUGGGUUAAUAAAAGCAGUGGCAUGGAUUCAAUUCCUGGACAGAUAGUAUCUGCUUGCCAAAAGUGGGUGCACAAAAAUAAAUAGGCAAAUAAAAAAUGAAGAUGUUAAUAUAGAAAUAAAUUCAUACAUCCUAGGUAAUUACUUCUGGUCAGAUAUCACAUUGCUAAGAAAUCUUCAUAGGUUCCAUGGUGUCAGGUUGCCUGUUUUUUUUCUCGAGAGACAGGAGUCCAGACCCAGACACCUUCUCUGGGGAAUGCUGAGCAGGCAAUUUUGGUUUCUUUUUUUAAAAUCAUUUUUUAUUUCCAUUAUAGCUGAUUUAUAGUGCUCUGUAUCUUUCUUUUUAACAGCAGAAUGAUCCAGUCAUACAUAUACAUACAUAUCCUUUUUCUCACAUUAUUCUCCAACUUGUUCCAAAAAAAGUGACUAGAGAUAGUUCAUGGCACUAUACAGCAGGAUCUCAUUGCUUAUCCAGUCCAAGUACAAGAGUUUGUAUCUGUUAGCCCCAAAUCCCAAGUCUUCCCACAUCCUCCCCCUCCAAUCUGGCAACCACCAGUCUGUUCUCUAGUCAAGAUUUUCUUUUCUGUAGAAAGGUUCAUUUGUACCAUUUAUUAGAUUACAGAUCCAAGGUGUAUCCUAUGGUAUUGGCUUUUAUUUUCAGAUGUAUUUCACUUAGUAUAAGAAUCUUGAGUUCCAUCCAUGUGGCUGCGAAUGUCAUUUUUUAUUUUAUUUUUUUUAUUUUUAGGGUUGCUCCUGUGGUAUAUGCAGGUUCCCAGGCUAGGGGUCCAAUCAAAGCUGUAUCCACUGGCCUACACCAUGGCCACAGCAACUUAGGAUCCGAGCCCCAUCUGUGACCUACACCAUAGCUCACCGCAAUGCUGGAUCCUAAACCACUGAGUGAGGCCGGGGAUCAAACUGGCAUCCUCAUGGGUGCUAGUUGGGUUCGUUAACCGCUGAGACAACACGGGAACUCCUGUACAACAUCUUCUUAAUCCAUUCAUUUGUCGUUGGAUCUUGAGUUUGUUUCCGUGUCUUGGGUAUUAUGAAUACUGCUACAAUGAACAUAGAGGGGCACGUAUCUUUUUGAAAGAGGCUUUGUCCAGAUAUGUGCCCAAGAGUGGGAUUGCUGGGCCAUAGGUUUGUUCUAUAUGUAUUUUUUUGGAUUUACCUCAAUCCUGUUUUCCAUAGUGGUUGUAUCAAUUUAUAUACAUAUCUACACUGGAGGAGGGCACCCUCUUUGCCACACCCUCUACAGGAUUUGUUAUUUUUAUUUUUAUUUGCUUUUCAGGGCUGCACCCGUGGCAUAUGAAGGUUCCCAGGCUAGGGGUCUAAUCGGAGCUCUAGCCGCCGGCCUGCACCACAGCCACAGCAUUGCAGGAUCUGAGCUGUGUCUGUGACCUACACCACAGCUCACGGCAAUGCCAGAUCCUUAACCCACUGAGCGAGGCCAGAGAUUGAACCUGCAACCUCAUGAUUCCUAGUCAGAUUCAUUUCCGCUGAGCCACAACGGGAACUCCAGGAUUUGUUGUUUGUAGACUUGCUAAUGAUGGCCAUUUGGAUAGGCGUGAGGAGGUACCUCAGUGUAGAUUUGAUUUGUAUUUCUCUCCUAAUGAGUGAUGAUCAUUUUUUCCGGUGCUUGUUGCUUUCUGUAUGUCUGGUUUUGGGAAAUGUCUAUUCAGGAUUUUUGCCCAUUUGUCUAUUGAGGUUUUUUUUGGUGUUUUUUUUUUGUUUGUUUGUUUUUGUUUGUUUUGUUUUAACUGUUGGGUUGUAACAGCUGUUGAGUUGGUAAUGUUGAAACCCCAUCCUGACCUGUGUUAUGGAAACUAGACAGAGUGCAUGCAGGUUGUGCAUGGAAGGUGGUACAAAGAUGAUAUUUUGGUGAGCAGCUGCGCUAAUUCCUGUGCUUUUUCUCUCAGUACAUCUCCUGAAACUCUGUCCUUUUUUUUACAUGUGAGCCUCCUUGUUCUCUCUGUACACCUGCUAUGAAGACCUGGUCUAAUGCCAGGUUGGGUGAAUUAAGGCUGGUGGAAUGAUAUAAAGAAAGCUCUCUCAGAGAUCCCUCUUGUUCCCCUGUGUAAUAUCUGUCUGUGUCACUGUGGUUGGUUUGGUAACCUCUGAGCCUUGAAAACCAUUGAUGGGCAGACAACUCACACAUGUUUCUGGUGGGGUCAAUAAAAAGAAUGAAAGAAAGAGAGAAAUUAAAAGAAAUAAAGACCAGAGUUCCCAUCAUGGCUCAGUGGUUAACGAACCCGACUAGGAACCAUGAGGUUUCAGGUUCGAUCCUUGGCCUCGCUCAGUGGGUUAAGGAUUGGGUGUUGCCAUGAGCUGUGGUGUAGGUCACAGACACUGCUAAGAUCCCACAUUGCUGUGGCUGUGGUGUAGGCAGGCAGCUACAGCUCUGAUUAGACCUCUAGCCUGGGAACCUCCAUAUGCCGUGGGUGUGGCCCUAAAAAGACAAAAGAAAAAAAAAAAAAAAAAAAA